CGAGCGAGCGGAACCACAGAUUUACUUCGGUAAUGACGUUGGGAAAGCGAGCGGCGGAUGGGUGAGUAACACGUGGGGAACCUGCCCCUAAGUCUGGGAUACCAUUUGGAAACAGGUGCUAAUACCGGAUAAUAAAGCAGAUCGCAUGAUCAGCUUUUGAAAGGCGGCGUAAGCUGUCGCUAAGGGAUGGCCCCGCGGUGCAUUAGCUAGUUGGUAAGGUAACGGCUUACCAAGGCGACGAUGCAUAGCCGAGUUGAGAGACUGAUCGGCCACAUUGGGACUGAGACACGGCCCAAACUCCUACGGGAGGCAGCAGUAGGGAAUCUUCCACAAUGGACGCAAGUCUGAUGGAGCAACGCCGCGUGAGUGAAGAAGGUUUUCGGAUCGUAAAACUCUGUUGUCAGAGAAGAACGUGUGUGAGAGUAACUGUUCACGCAGUGACGGUAUCUGACCAGAAAGUCACGGCUAACUACGUGCCAGCAGCCGCGGUAAUACGUAGGUGGCAAGCGUUGUCCGGAUUUAUUGGGCGUAAAGGGAACGCAGGCGGUCUCUUAAGUCUGAUGUGAAAGCCUUCGGCUUAACCGAAGUCGGGCAUUGGAAACUGGGAGACUUGAGUGCAGAAGAGGAGAGUGGAACUCCAUGUGUAGCGGUGAAAUGCGUAGAUAUAUGGAAGAACACCAGUGGCGAAAGCGGCUCUCUGGUCUGUAACU
RNAcentral lists this ribosomal RNA (710 nucleotides) under uncultured bacterium. Its description in RNAcentral is "bacterial SSU rRNA". It matches the Rfam family "Bacterial small subunit ribosomal RNA", at positions 63 to 741 of the family's 1533-position model. The record is from RNAcentral.